Molecule: ribosomal RNA, 301 nt
Filed under: uncultured bacterium
Lineage: Bacteria
Description: partial 16S ribosomal RNA
Rfam family: Bacterial small subunit ribosomal RNA
Source: RNAcentral
CAGUAGCCGCGGGAAUACGUAGGGUGCAAGCGUUAAUCGGAAUUACUGGGCGUAAAGCGUGCGCAGGCGGUUCGCUAAGACAGAUGUGAAAUCCCCGGGCUUAACCUGGGAACUGCAUUUGUGACUGGCGGGCUAGAGUAUGGCAGAGGGGGGUAGAAUUCCACGUGUAGCAGUGAAAUGCGUAGAGAUGUGGAGGAAUACCGAUGGCGAAGGCAGCCCCCUGGGCCAACACUGACGCUCAUGCACGAAAGCGUGGGGAGCAAACAGGAUUAGAUACCCCUGUAGUCCCUGUCUCUUAUAC